This 279-nucleotide unclassified non-coding RNA is filed under the name Hevea brasiliensis (rubber tree). The record is from RNAcentral. Lineage: Eukaryota; Viridiplantae; Streptophyta; Magnoliopsida; Malpighiales; Euphorbiaceae.
CCAAUGUCUUUCUUUGACUCUACUCCAGCAGGACGGAUCUUGAACCGUGUAUCCAUAGAUCAAAGUGUUGUGGAUCUUGAUAUCCCUUUUAGGCUUGGUGGGUUUGCUUCAACAACAAUACAACUUCUUGGAAUUGUCGGUGUAAUGACCAAAGUUACUUGGCAAGUGUUGCUUCUUGUUGUUCCUAUGGCUAUUACUUGCUUAUGGAUGCAGAAAUACUACAUGGCUUCAUCAAGGGAACUGGUCCGCAUUGUUAGUAUCCAGAAAUCUCCUAUCACC